Myodes glareolus (Bank vole) is the source of this 169-nucleotide long non-coding RNA. RefSeq lists it as uncharacterized. The record is from RefSeq and is a predicted model, not a curated record. NCBI's taxonomy places the organism in Eukaryota, Metazoa, Chordata, Mammalia, Rodentia, Cricetidae.
UUUUUUUGGCCGGUCGACAGCACCGCGGACCGGAUAUCCCCCCAUGCUGGGCUCUUCUCCGGAGAGAGCCUGUGAUGGCCCUAAACUUCUGAUCUUGGAUAACCAACCGGACACUUAAAGUGGGCGUCAGUCAGAAGAGGACACCAGACCUCCUUAUGGAUGGUUGUGA